RNAcentral lists this ribosomal RNA (460 nucleotides) under uncultured bacterium. RNAcentral describes it as "partial 16S ribosomal RNA". It matches the Rfam family "Bacterial small subunit ribosomal RNA", at positions 338 to 795 of the family's 1533-position model. The record is from RNAcentral.
CCUACGGGCGGCAGCAGUGAGGAAUAUUGGUCAAUGGACGGAAGUCUGAACCAGCCAUGCCGCGUGCAGGAAGACGGCUCUAUGAGUUGUAAACUGCUUUUGUACAAGGGUAAACCUGAAUACGUGUAUUCAGCUGAAAGUACUGUACGAAUAAGGAUCGGCUAACUCCGUGCCAGCAGCCGCGGUAAUACGGAGGAUCCAAGCGUUAUCCGGAUUUAUUGGGUUUAAAGGGUGCGUAGGCGGAUGGAUAAGUUAGAGGUGAAAUGUCCGGGCUUAACUUGGGAACUGCCUCUAAUACUGUUCGGUUAGGGAGUAGAUGCGGUAGGCGGAAUGUAUGGGGUAGCGGGGAAAUGCUUAGAGAUCAUACAGAACACCGAUUGCGAAGGCAGCUUACCAAUCUAUAUCUGACGUUGAGGCACGAAAGCGUGGGGAGCAAACAGGAUUAGAUACCCCUGUAGUC